This 301-nucleotide ribosomal RNA is filed under the name uncultured bacterium. Its description in RNAcentral is "partial 16S ribosomal RNA". It matches the Rfam family "Bacterial small subunit ribosomal RNA", at positions 509 to 809 of the family's 1533-position model. The record is from RNAcentral.
CAGCAGCCGCGGGAAUACGAAGGGUGCAAGCGUUAAUCGGAAUUACUGGGCGUAAAGCGUGCGUAGGCGGUGAGUUAAGUCUGCUGUGAAAUCCCCGGGCUCAACCUGGGAAUGGCAGUGGAUACUGGCUCGCUAGAGUGUGUCAGAGGAUGGUGGAAUUCCCGGUGUAGCGGUGAAAUGCGUAGAGAUCGGGAGGAACAUCAGUGGCGAAGGCGGCCAUCUGGGACAACACUGACGCUGAGGCACGAGAGCGUGGGGAGCAAACAGGAUUAGAUACCCCAGUAGUCCCUGUCUCUUAUAA